Molecule: ribosomal RNA, 626 nt
Filed under: Pelosinus sp. 803
Lineage: Bacteria; Bacillati; Bacillota; Negativicutes; Selenomonadales; Sporomusaceae
Description: bacterial SSU rRNA
Rfam family: Bacterial small subunit ribosomal RNA
Source: RNAcentral
GUGGCGAACGGGUGAGUAACGCGUAGACAACCUACCUUCUAGCUGGGGACAACACUGCGAAAGUGGUGCUAAUACCGAAUGUUGUAUUUUGAAUGCAUACUUGAAAUACUAAAGGUGGCCUCUAUUUAUAAGCUAUCACUAGAAGAUGGGUCUGCGUCUGAUUAGCUAGUUGGUGAGGUAACGGCUCACCAAGGCGACGAUCAGUAGCCGGUCUGAGAGGAUGAACGGCCACACUGGGACUGAGACACGGCCCAGACUCCUACGGGAGGCAGCAGUGGGGAAUCUUCCGCAAUGGACGAAAGUCUGACGGAGCAACGCCGCGUGAGUGAAGAAGGUUUUCGGAUCGUAAAACUCUGUUUUCAGGGACGAAUGUGUGGAUUGUAAAUAAUGAUCCAUAAUGACGGUACCUGACAAGAAAGCCACGGCUAACUACGUGCCAGCAGCCGCGGUAAUACGUAGGUGGCAAGCGUUGUCCGGAAUUAUUGGGCGUAAAGCGCGCGCAGGUGGGAUAAUCAGUCUGAUGUUAAAGUUCGGGGCUUAACCCCGUGAAGCAUUGGAUACUGUUAUUCUUGAGUGCAGGAGAGGAAAGUGGAAUUCCUAGUGUAGCGGUGAAAUGCGUAGAUAUU